This 507-nucleotide ribosomal RNA is filed under the name uncultured bacterium. RNAcentral describes it as "partial 16S ribosomal RNA". It matches the Rfam family "Bacterial small subunit ribosomal RNA", at positions 30 to 523 of the family's 1533-position model. The record is from RNAcentral.
AUUGAACGCUGGCGGCAGGCCUAACACAUACAAGUCGAGCGGCAGCGGGAAAGUAGCUUGCUACUUUUGCCGGCGAGCGGCGGACGGGUGAGUAAUGCCUGGGGAUCUGCCCAGUCGAGGGGGAUAACAGUUGGAAACGACUGCUAAUACCGCAUACGCCCUACGGGGGAAAGGAGGGGACCUUCGGGCCUUUCGCGAUUGGAUGAACCCAGGUGGGAUUAGCUAGUUGGUGGGGUAAUGGCUCACCAAGGCGACGAUCCCUAGCUGGUCUGAGAGGAUGAUCAGCCACACUGGAACUGAGACACGGUCAGACUCCUACGGGAGGCAGCAGUGGGGAAUAUUGCACAAUGGGGGAAACCCUGAUGCAGCCAUGCCGCGUGUGUGAAGAAGGCCUUCGGGUUGUAAAGCACUUUCAGCGAGGAGGAAAGGUUGUUGGCUAAUACCCAGCAACUGUGACGUUACUCGCAGAAGAAGCACCGGCUAACUCCGUGCCAGCAGCCGCGGUAA